This 240-nucleotide unclassified non-coding RNA is filed under the name air metagenome. RNAcentral describes it as "partial contains small subunit ribosomal RNA, internal transcribed spacer 1, and 5.8S ribosomal RNA". The stretch from base 1 to 46 matches the Rfam family "Eukaryotic small subunit ribosomal RNA", at positions 1786 to 1831 of the family's 1831-position model. The record is from RNAcentral.
AAGUCGUAACAAGGUCUCCGUUGGUGAACCAGCGGAGGGAUCAUUACCGAGUUUACAAACUCCCAACCCUUCUGUGAACCUUACCCGUCGUUGCUUCGGCGGGACGCCCCGGAGCCCCGUGCCCGGACCCAGGCGCCCGCCGGAGACCCCCAACUCCACUGUAUCUUCAGCGCCGUAUUCUCCUCUGAGUGGCAAACGCACAAUCAAUCAAAACUUUUAACAACGGAUCUCUUGGCUCUG